CCUACGGGUGGCAGCAGUGAGGAAUAUUGGUCAAUGGACGAGAGUCUGAACCAGCCAAGUAGCGUGAAGGAUGAAUGCACUGAGGAUUGUAAACUUCUUUUAUAUGGGAAUAAAAUGUUGGACGUGUCGGAUUUUGUGUGUACCAUAUGAAUAAGCAUCGGCUAACUCCGUGCCAGCAGCCGCGGUAAUACGGAGGAUUCGAGCGUUAUCCGGAUUUAUUGGGUUUAAAGGGUGCGUAGGUGGAUUGUUAAGUCAGUUGUGAAAGGUUGCGGCUCAACCGUGACAUCGCAGUUGAAACUGGCAGUCUCGAGUACAGUAGAGGUGGGCGGAAUGCGCGGUGUAGCGGUGAAAUGCUUAGAUAUCACGAAGAACUCCGAUUGCGAAGGCAGCUUACUGGA
RNAcentral lists this ribosomal RNA (398 nucleotides) under uncultured bacterium. RNAcentral describes it as "partial 16S ribosomal RNA". It matches the Rfam family "Bacterial small subunit ribosomal RNA", at positions 338 to 733 of the family's 1533-position model. The record is from RNAcentral.